This 349-nucleotide ribosomal RNA is filed under the name uncultured Bacteroidota bacterium. RNAcentral describes it as "bacterial SSU rRNA". It matches the Rfam family "Bacterial small subunit ribosomal RNA", at positions 565 to 916 of the family's 1533-position model. Lineage: Bacteria; Pseudomonadati; Bacteroidota. The record is from RNAcentral.
GGGAGCGCAGACGGGAGAUUAAGUCAGUUGUGAAAGUUUGCGGCUCAACCGUAAAAUUGCAGUUGAUACUGGUUUCCUUGAGUGCAGUUGAGGCAGGCGGAAUUCGUGGUGUAGCGGUGAAAUGCUUAGAUAUCACGAAGAACCCCGAUUGCGAAGGCAGCUUGCUAAACUGUAACUGACGUUCAUGCUCGAAAGUGUGGGUAUCAAACAGGAUUAGAUACCCUGGUAGUCCACACGGUAAACGAUGGAUACUCGCUGUUGGCGAUAUACUGUCAGCGGCCAAGCGAAAGCAUUAAGUAUCCCACCUGGGGAGUACGCCGGCAACGGUGCAACUCAAAGGAAUUGACGG